RNAcentral lists this ribosomal RNA (254 nucleotides) under uncultured bacterium. Its description in RNAcentral is "partial 16S ribosomal RNA". It matches the Rfam family "Bacterial small subunit ribosomal RNA", at positions 524 to 776 of the family's 1533-position model. The record is from RNAcentral.
UACGUAGGGUGCAAGCGUUGUCCGGAAUUAUUGGGCGUAAAGAGCUCGUAGGCGGUUUGUCGCGUCUGCUGUGAAAACCCGAGGCUCAACCUCGGGCCUGCAGUGGGUACGGGCAGACUAGAGUGCGGUAGGGGAGAUUGGAAUUCCUGGUGUAGCGGUGGAAUGCGCAGAUAUCAGGAGGAACACCGAUGGCGAAGGCAGGUAUCUCGGGCCGAUACUGACGCUGAGGAGCGAAAGCAUGGGGAGCGAACAGG